CAUAAAGUAAAUGAUUCUAGAAAAUGUGCAAGCAUAGUUGGUAUUCUUCCAUCCAUAAACACGAGAAUAGAUGCAUUUAAUUUGUCCUUCAAAUAUAAACAAGGAAAAACGAGGAAAAAUAUGUGUGUACAGACUCAAGAUCCAUGGCGAUUUUAAAUGCAGUCAGGAUCAUUUACUCCAGAUUCAUGCCACAUCUUCUCAUGAUUUUGGUCCAAAUUGGCUAUUCAUUUCUCUACACCAUUGCAGAAGCUGUCUUCAAUCAUGGGAUGAACCCUCAUGUCUUCGUUACAUACCGAUAAAUCGUAGGCAGCUUAGUGAUGUUUCCUGUUGCAUAUUUUCUUGAAAGGUGCAUUACACACAUGCAUACACCCACCAGAUAAAUUGCAAAGAAAAGCGAGGCCAAAGCUAACAAUUGUGUUGUUUCUGGAGAUAUUUGUGCUUUCUCUUCUAGGGUAUGAAGGGCAAUCCAUAUGCUUCAACAUAAAGCAAAACGAAACAAAAUUUUUUGUCUUUGUGAGAAAAGGAAAGGACUUACAGUUUUCUCUUUUGACGAAAGCCAGGACCAGCUUAACAAUUAACAUGUACUUUGCAAGCUUGAAAUACACUUCUCCUACCUUUGUUGCUUCAAUGAACAAUACCGUUCCCUCCAUGACUUUCAUAAUUGCAAUUAUACUCAGGUUGGAGAUUGUCGAUUUAAGGAACCCUCGAGGAAUAGCUAAAAUUGUCGGAACGUUACUAUCGUUGGCUGGGGUCUUGACCAUCACUUUAUACAAAGGACCUGAGGUGCGAAGCUUGCAGGGUGCACCAAUCCAUGUCAGAAGUAAUCAUGCUCAGCAAAACCGGGUGAAGGGGUCUUUUCUGCUUGUUUCGAGUUGCUUUACAUGGUCUCUCUAUUUUAUUAUGCAGAUGUGUACCUCGUAAGCAUACACACUGAAAAGGUAUCCUUCACAACUAUCACUAGCUGCAUGGAUAAACGGCUUAGCGGCGGCACAAUCAGCUGUCUUCACUGUGUUCAUACAACACGAACCAGCAGCAUGGAGCAUCAGAUCCAGCAUUAUAUUCUGGUCCAUCAUAUAUGCUGGAGUCAUUAGUUGUGGCUUGACGGUCUUCAUUCAAUUAUGGUGCAACAAAGAAAAAGAGGCAGUCUUUGUGACCAUCUUUAGUCCUCUUGCAACCGUAAUGGUGGCAAUCCUGGCUUACUUUCUUUUUGGUGAAGCGUUGCACGCAGGCAGGGGAGACUGUCCCUAAUUUAUCUCUGGCUAAAUCAGCAUAUUGGGAGGAGCUGUUGUUAUCAUUGGACUUUACAUGCUGCUGUGGGGAAAAGAAAAUGAGCGAGAUCGAAACAAGUCCCAAGAACCAUCUCUUUCCACUUAUGAUGAGGAAAAGUUAAGCCAGUUAGCAGUGGAAAGUUCAGCAGAAGACACAUAGUGAAACAGGAAGUUGAGAAAUAAAUCGAGAAUUGGGACUGAUACAAACGAGUCCUACAAUACUCAGAUCAUGAUGUCGGAAACGAAUGGCAUGGCAAAUAAAUCAAAGCUCGUUUAUUGAGCACUAAUAAUCAUUUUCUACAACAAUUAGUUAACAAAUUUUUCGAUAUUUCCAAGUGAGUAUCGAUAUCCCCAAACAACUAGUACAGUGAAUGUUAUUGCAAACUCUCUUAUCCUAUCUUAAUCAGUUAACUUCUGCAGAAUGUUAUUACAAUGGAGUUCUACAAUCA
Long non-coding RNA from Populus trichocarpa (black cottonwood), 1717 nucleotides. RefSeq lists it as uncharacterized. The record is from RefSeq and is a predicted model, not a curated record. The transcript has 6 exons. NCBI's taxonomy places the organism in Eukaryota, Viridiplantae, Streptophyta, Magnoliopsida, Malpighiales, Salicaceae.